Molecule: ribosomal RNA, 440 nt
Filed under: uncultured bacterium
Lineage: Bacteria
Description: partial 16S ribosomal RNA
Rfam family: Bacterial small subunit ribosomal RNA
Source: RNAcentral
UGGGGAAUAUUGCACAAUGGGCGCAAGCCUGAUGCAGCCAUGCCGCGUGUGUGAAGAAGGCCUUCGGGUUGUAAAGCACUUUCAGCGAGGAGGAAGGUGGUGAGCUUAAUACGCUCAUCAAUUGACGUUACUCGCAGAAGAAGCACCGGCUAACUCCGUGCCAGCAGCCGCGGUAAUACGGAGGGUGCAAGCGUUAAUCGGAAUUACUGGGCGUAAAGCGCACGCAGGCGGUUUGUUAAGUCAGAUGUGAAAUCCCCCGGGGCUCAACCUGGGAACUGCAUUUGAAACUGGCAAGCUAGAGUCUCGUAGAGGGGGGUAGAAUUCCAGGUNUAGCGGUGAAAUGCGUAGAGAUCUGGAGGAAUACCGGUGGCGAAGGCGGCCCCCUGGACGAAGACUGACGCUCAGGUGCGAAAGCGUGGGGCAGCAAACAGGAUUAGAUA